RNAcentral lists this ribosomal RNA (416 nucleotides) under Neenchelys sp. WJC555. RNAcentral describes it as "partial 16S ribosomal RNA". It matches the Rfam family "Bacterial large subunit ribosomal RNA", at positions 1962 to 2502 of the family's 2925-position model. The record is from RNAcentral. Lineage: Eukaryota; Metazoa; Chordata; Actinopteri; Anguilliformes; Ophichthidae.
UAAUCAUUUGUCCCUUAAAUGGGGACCUGUAUGAAUGGCAUCACGAGGGUUUAACUGUCUCCUUCCCCCAGUCAAUGAAAUUGAUCUGCCCGUGCAGAAGCGGACAUAAAAUCAUAAGACGAGAAGACCCUAUGGAGCUUUAGGUAAAAGAUCAGACAUGUAAAGAAAACUUAUUAACUCCCAAGGAAACAGAAAGUUUUUAAACCUAAUGUAAAAAUGAUCCACAUACCUUCGGUUGGGGCGACCGCGGGGGAAAAUAAAGCCCCCACAUGGAAUAGAAAACAUCUUCCAAACCAAGAACCACAAUUCUAAGCAACAGAACAUCUGACCACUAAUGAUCCGGGAUAAAUAAUUUAAGCCCGAUCAAUGAACCAAGUUACCCUAGGGAUAACAGCGCAAUCCUCUCCCAGAGCCCA